UCCCUGGUGGUCCAGUGGUUAGGACCCUGCGCUUCCACUGCAGGGGGCCCGGGUUCAAUCCCUGGUCAGGGAA
This 73-nucleotide transfer RNA is filed under the name Tursiops truncatus (common bottlenose dolphin). Its description in RNAcentral is "tRNA-Gly (TCC) (tRNA-Gly-TCC-11-1)". It matches the Rfam family "tRNA". From Rfam's summary of the family: Transfer RNA (tRNA) molecules are approximately 80 nucleotides in length. Their secondary structure includes four short double-helical elements and three loops (D, anti-codon, and T loops). RNAcentral also lists the same sequence under 4 other names. The record is from Rfam by way of RNAcentral. Lineage: Eukaryota; Metazoa; Chordata; Mammalia; Artiodactyla; Delphinidae.